Molecule: ribosomal RNA, 468 nt
Filed under: uncultured bacterium
Lineage: Bacteria
Description: partial 16S ribosomal RNA
Rfam family: Bacterial small subunit ribosomal RNA
Source: RNAcentral
GACGAACGCUGGCGGCGUGCUUAACACAUGCAAGUCGAACGGAAAGGCCCUGCUUUUGUGGGGUGCUCGAGUGGCGAACGGGUGAGUAACACGUGAGUAACCUGCCCUUGACUUUGGGAUAACUUCAGGAAACUGGGGCUAAUACCGGAUAGGAGCUCCUGCUGCAUGGUGGGGGUUGGAAAGUUUCGGCGGUUGGGGAUGGACUCGCGGCUUAUCAGCUUGUUGGUGGGGUAGUGGCUUACCAAGGCUUUGACGGGUAGCCGGCCUGAGAGGGUGACCGGCCACAUUGGGACUGAGAUACGGCCCAGACUCCUACGGGAGGGAGCAGUGGGGAAUAUUGCACAAUGGGCGGAAGCCUGAUGCAGCAACGCCGAGUGCGGGAUGACGGCCUUCGGGUUGUAAACCGCUUUCGCCUGUGACGAAGCGUGAGUGACGGUAAUGGGUAAAGAAGCACCGGCUAACUACGUG